AUUGAACGCUGGCGGCAUGCCUUACACAUGCAAGUCGAACGGCAGCACGGGAGCAAUCCUGGUGGCGAGUGGCGAACGGGUGAGUAAAGUAUCGGAACGUGCCCAGUCGUGGGGGAUAACGUAGCGAAAGUUACGCUAAUACCGCAUACGAUCUAUGGAUGAAAGCGGGGGAUCGCAAGACCUCGCGCGAUUGGAGCGGCCGAUAUCAGAUUAGGUAGUUGGUGGGGUAAAGGCUCACCAAGCCGACGAUAUGUAGCUGGUCUGAGAGGACGACCAGCCACACUGGGACUGAGACACGGCCCAGACUCCGACGGGAGGCAGCAGUGGGGAAUGUUGGACAAUGGGCGAAAGCCUGAUCCAGCCAUGCCGCGUGCAGGAUGAAGGCCUUUGGGUUGUAAACUGCUUUUGUACGGAACGAAAAGGUUUGGCCUAAUAAGCUGAGCUCAUGACGGUACCGUAAGAAUAAGCACCGGCUAACUACGUGCCAGCCGCCGCGGUAA
Molecule: ribosomal RNA, 500 nt
Filed under: uncultured bacterium
Lineage: Bacteria
Description: partial 16S ribosomal RNA
Rfam family: Bacterial small subunit ribosomal RNA
Source: RNAcentral